UACGGAGGAUGCGAGCGUUAUCCGGAUUUAUUGGGUUUAAAGGGUGCGUAGGCGGACGCUUAAGUCAGCGGUAAAAUUGCGGGGCUCAACCUCGUCGAGCCGUUGAAACUGGGUGCCUUGAGUGGGCGAGAAGUACGCGGAAUGCGUGGUGUAGCGGUGAAAUGCAUAGAUAUCACGCAGAACUCCGAUUGCGAAGGCAGCGUACCGGCGCCACACUGACGCUGAGGCACGAAAGCGUGGGGAUCGUACAGG
Molecule: ribosomal RNA, 252 nt
Filed under: uncultured bacterium
Lineage: Bacteria
Description: partial 16S ribosomal RNA
Rfam family: Bacterial small subunit ribosomal RNA
Source: RNAcentral